AGAGCCUGAAUCAGUGUGUGUGUUAGUGGAAGCGUCUGGAAAGGCGCGCGAUACAGGGUGACAGCCCCGUACACAAAAAUGCACAUGCUGUGAGCUCGAUGAGUAGGGCGGGACACGUGGUAUCCUGUCUGAAUAUGGGGGGACCAUCCUCCAAGGCUAAAUACUCCUGACUGACCGAUAGUGAACCAGUACCGUGAGGGAAAGGCGAAAAGAACCCCGGCGAGGGGAGUGAAAAAGAACCUGAAACCGUGUACGUACAAGCAGUGGGAGCACGCUUAGGCGUGUGACUGCGUACCUUUUGUAUAAUGGGUCAGCGACUUAUAUUCUGUAGCAAGGUUAACCGAAUAGGGGAGCCGAAGGGAAACCGAGUCUUAACUGGGCGUUAAGUUGCAGGGUAUAGACCCGAAACCCGGUGAUCUAGCCAUGGGCAGGUUGAAGGUUGGGUAACACUAACUGGAGGACCGAACCGACUAAUGUUGAAAAAUUAGCGGAUGACUUGUGGCUGGGGGUGAAAGGCCAAUCAAACCGGGAGAUAGCUGGUUCUCCCCGAAAGCUAUUUAGGUAGCGCCUCGUGAAUUCAUCUCCGGGGGUAGAGCACUGUUUCGGCAAGGGGGUCAUCCCGACUUACCAACCCGAUGCAAACUGCGAAUACCGGAGAAUGUUAUCACGGGAGACACACGGCGGGUGCUAACGUCCGUCGUGAAGAGGGAAACAACCCAGACCGCCAGCUAAGGUCCCAAAGUCAUGGUUAAGUGGGAAACGAUGUGGGAAGGCCCAGACAGCCAGGAUGUUGGCUUAGAAGCAGCCAUCAUUUAAAGAAAGCGUAAUAGCUCACUGGUCGAGUCGGCCUGCGCGGAAGAUGUAACGGGGCUAAACCAUGCACCGAAGCUGCGGCAGCGACGCUGAUGCGUUGUUGGGUAGGGGAGCGUUCUGUAAGCCUGCGAAGGUGUGCUGUGAGGCAUGCUGGAGGUAUCAGAAGUGCGAAUGCUGACAUAAGUAACGAUAAAGCGGGUGAAAAGCCCGCUCGCCGGAAGACCAAGGGUUCCUGUCCAACGUUAAUCGGGGCAGGGUGAGUCGACCCCUAAGGCGAGGCCGAAAGGCGUAGUCGAUGGGAAACAGGUUAAUAUUCCUGUACUUGGUGUUACUGCGAAGGGGGGACGGAGAAGGCUAUGUUGGCCGGGCGACGGUUGUCCCGGUUUAAGCGUGUAGGCUGGUUUUCCAGGCAAAUCCGGAAAAUCAAGGCUGAGGCGUGAUGACGAGGCACUACGGUGCUGAAGCAACAAAUGCCCUGCUUCCAGGAAAAGCCUCUAAGCAUCAGGUAACAUCAAAUCGUACCCCAAACCGACACAGGUGGUCAGGUAGAGAAUACCAAGGCGCUUGAGAGAACUCGGGUGAAGGAACUAGGCAAAAUGGUGCCGUAACUUCGGGAGAAGGCACGCUGAUAUGUAGGUGAGGUCCCUCGCGGAUGGAGCUGAAAUCAGUCGAAGAUACCAGCUGGCUGCAACUGUUUAUUAAAAACACAGCACUGUGCAAACACGAAAGUGGACGUAUACGGUGUGACGCCUGCCCGGUGCCGGAAGGUUAAUUGAUGGGGUCAGCGCAAGCGAAGCUCUUGAUCGAAGCCCCGGUAAACGGCGGCCGUAACUAUAACGGUCCUAAGGUAGCGAAAUUCCUUGUCGGGUAAGUUCCGACCUGCACGAAUGGCGUAAUGAUGGCCAGGCUGUCUCCACCCGAGACUCAGUGAAAUUGAACUCGCUGUGAAGAUGCAGUGUACCCGCGGCAAGACGGAAAGACCCCGUGAACCUUUACUAUAGCUUGACACUGAACAUUGAGCCUUGAUGUGUAGGAUAGGUGGGAGGCUUAGAAGUGUGGACGCCAGUCUGCAUGGAGCCGACCUUGAAAUACCACCCUUUAAUGUUUGAUGUUCUAACGUUGACCCGUAAUCCGGGUUGCGGACAGUGUCUGGUGGGUAGUUUGACUGGGGCGGUCUCCUCCUAAAGAGUAACGGAGGAGCACGAAGGUUGGCUAAUCCUGGUCGGACAUCAGGAGGUUAGUGCAAUGGCAUAAGCCAGCUUGACUGCGAGCGUGACGGCGCGAGCAGGUGCGAAAGCAGGUCAUAGUGAUCCGGUGGUUCUGAAUGGAAGGGCCAUCGCUCAACGGAUAAAAGGUACUCCGGGGAUAACAGGCUGAUACCGCCCAAGAGUUCAUAUCGACGGCGGUGUUUGGCACCUCGAUGUCGGCUCAUCACAUCCUGGGGCUGAAGUAGGUCCCAAGGGUAUGGCUGUUCGCCAUUUAAAGUGGUACGCGAGCUGGGUUUAGAACGUCGUGAGACAGUUCGGUCCCUAUCUGCCGUGGGCGCUGGAGAACUGAGGGGGGCUGCUCCUAGUACGAGAGGACCGGAGUGGACGCAUCACUGGUGUUCGGGUUGUCAUGCCAAUGGCACUGCCCGGUAGCUAAAUGCGGAAGAGAUAAGUGCUGAAAGCAUCUAAGCACGAAACUUGCCCCGAGAUGAGUUCUCCCUGACUCCUUGAGAGUCCUGAAGGAACGUUGAAGACGACGACGUUGAUAGGCCGGGUGUGUAAGCGCAGCGAUGCGUUGAGCU
This 2602-nucleotide ribosomal RNA is filed under the name Escherichia coli 2-222-05_S3_C3. RNAcentral describes it as "bacterial LSU rRNA". It matches the Rfam family "Bacterial large subunit ribosomal RNA", at positions 305 to 2892 of the family's 2925-position model. The record is from RNAcentral. Lineage: Bacteria; Pseudomonadati; Pseudomonadota; Gammaproteobacteria; Enterobacterales; Enterobacteriaceae.